RNAcentral lists this small RNA (685 nucleotides) under Vigna angularis var. angularis. Its description in RNAcentral is "Non-protein coding transcript". The record is from RNAcentral. Lineage: Eukaryota; Viridiplantae; Streptophyta; Magnoliopsida; Fabales; Fabaceae.
GUUACAGCUUUGUCUAUUAAAAAGAAAAUUUAAAACCCUGUAAAGAGCUUUAUAAACUAGGGUUUUGAGUUGUUAUUGUCCUCUGCCAGAGAUAGAUUCACAGAAGAGAAAGCCGCCACCACUCUUGCCUCCUAUUUUCUACUACCAAUUUCCGGAUGGAAUCUCAGGUGAAGCACGCCCUUGUUGUUAAAGUUAUGGGUCGAACAGGGUCUAGAGGUCAGGUGACUCAGGUUAGAGUGAAGUUUUUGGAUGAUCAAAACAGGCACAUCAUGAGGAAUGUGAAAGGACCUGUGAGAGAAGGAGACAUUCUCACCCUACUUGAGUCCGAAAGAGAAGCAAGAAGGUUGCGCUAGAGUAGCUCCCAAUGGUUUGGCUCAGGACUUCAACUAAACAUUUAUGUUUGUUUUUUUUGUGGCAAUUAGUGGAAGUCGAGUAUCUGGACCUAAAUUGUGCACCUAUGAUGUUUGUUUGAUGUCCUGCUACUCUGUUUGUGGAUGAGUUUUAGAUUAAUGAAGCUUUUUCUGUGUUGAGAUGUGGUUGGUGAUGCUUUGAUAUAAUUGUGAAUGCAGUAUCUUUUUGUUUUACUCUAGUAGUGUUAAUUAAUGGAUUGCCUGUAGUAUGGAGAAACCAGACUAAUGGAUAUUAUAUUCUUUCGUUAACUUAGAAUAAAACAUUUGAUGGCUAG